This 79-nucleotide non-coding RNA is filed under the name Desulfuromonadales bacterium. RNAcentral's name for it is "c-di-GMP sequence". It matches the Rfam family "c-di-GMP-I-GGC riboswitch aptamer". Lineage: Bacteria; Pseudomonadati; Thermodesulfobacteriota; Desulfuromonadia; Desulfuromonadales. The record is from RNAcentral.
UCCGAUAAGGGUAAACCGUGGGUAACUGCGGGACACAAAGCUGCGGGUCCUCCUGCUGAGGAUAGCCGGGCCGCCGAAG